GCCUGAUGCAGCCAUGCCGCGUGUGUGAAGAAGGCCUUCGGGUUGUAAAGCACUUUCAGUCAGGAGGAAAGGUUAGUAGUUAAUACCUGCUAGCUGUGACGUUACUGACAGAAGAAGCACCGGCUAACUCCGUGCCAGCAGCCGCGGUAAU
This 151-nucleotide ribosomal RNA is filed under the name uncultured bacterium. RNAcentral's name for it is "partial 16S ribosomal RNA". It matches the Rfam family "Bacterial small subunit ribosomal RNA", at positions 381 to 524 of the family's 1533-position model. The record is from RNAcentral.